GCACAACACAGCAGUAAAUGUUGGCCUAUUGUUACGGAUUAAUUUACCGAAACGAUCGGAUUGUGUGACAGUUACAGCCAUAGUGGAGAGAAGCGUUUGACUUACGUCCACUGUGCAGUAUAGCGCAUCCGGUCUUGGGGGUUCGAUUGCUGCCGCACCCUCUCAGUGAUCAAUCGCCUGAUUUUAAGUGAAGAGUUG
Long non-coding RNA from Oreochromis niloticus (Nile tilapia), 198 nucleotides. RefSeq lists it as uncharacterized. NCBI's taxonomy places the organism in Eukaryota, Metazoa, Chordata, Actinopteri, Cichliformes, Cichlidae. The transcript has 3 exons. The record is from RefSeq and is a predicted model, not a curated record.